CCUACGGGAGGCAGCAGUGAGGAAUAUUGGUCAAUGGACGAGAGUCUGAACCAGCCAAGUAGCGUGAAGGAUGACUGCCCUAUGGGUUGUAAACUUCUUUUAUAAAGGAAUAAAACGAGGCACGUGUGCCUUUUUGCAUGUACUUUAUGAGUAAGGAUCGGCUAACUCCGUGCCAGCCUCCGCGGUAAUACGGAGGAUCCGGGCGUUAUCCGGAUUUCUUGGGUUUAAAGGGAGCGUAGAUGGGUUGUUAAGUCAGUUGUGAAAGUUUGCGGCUCAACCGUAAAAUUGCAAUUGAUACUGGCAGUCUAGAGUACAGUUGAGGUGAGUGGAAUUCGAGGUGUAGCGGUGAAAUGCUUAGAUAUCACGAAGAACCCCGAUUGCGAAGGCAGCUUACUAAACUGUGACUGACAUUGAUGCGCGAAAGUGUGGGUAUCAAACAGGAUUAGAUACCCCAGUAGUC
RNAcentral lists this ribosomal RNA (460 nucleotides) under uncultured bacterium. RNAcentral describes it as "partial 16S ribosomal RNA". It matches the Rfam family "Bacterial small subunit ribosomal RNA", at positions 338 to 795 of the family's 1533-position model. The record is from RNAcentral.